AUUAAUAUUGAUUUACAAUUUAAUCUUUGGUUUGUAUCCCCCUUUAACUUAAAACCUUGAAAAAAAUAUUAAAAAGCAAUAACGUUCAAUUUAAGAAUUGGGAAUGCUUAAAAUUCACAAAAAUGAAUAUUUUACAUAUAAAAAUGAAAAAAAAGAGAGAAAAAUAAAAAAUAGCAAAAAAAUGUGUUGGCCUUUGUUUUUUUUUAUUUUGCAGAGGCAAAGAGAAAUUUUCUGCAAUUAGUUGACCCUCGAAGAGGGUUAAUUAACUCUUCCAAAGCAACUGAAUCGUUAAAUAAUUGUGGAGACCAAAAUUUCAAAGCUUCAAGUUUCCUCUCAAUGGAAAAGAGCGCAAGCAAAUAACAGCAAAUUAGUGCUUAUAUUGCUCCAAAACUUGAAUAUUAAAAUAUAUAAUAUUUUCAAAAGCAUUAUAAUAAUCGGGAUGACGUAAUGAAUAUAGAAAUAUGUACAUAAAUUAUUUAUCUCAAAAGCUUAAAAACUAUUAAUUUGAUUUGGAUGAGGAAGAAGUAUUCGAAGUUAAGAUUAAACUGGAUAUAAAAGGUUAUCAUUAUUACCAAAAGAGUAUUGCAGUAAUAAUUAAUGUCUAUCAAAACGACAGACGGUUUUUGAGAAGUUAAUGAACUUUGUUAAAUUGAAAUUAAAGGACAUCCAAUGUCAAAGUUGUCCAUUUCUAGCUCGCUCGAAUUAAGCAUUUCUAUAGAAUUUAAGCCCUGAGUAAGGAAUCCAUUGAGACAAGAAGAAUCCAUAUAUUCAUCAUAAUUGGAAGAGAUAUUUGGUUGUGAAUACAGGUAAAAUGAUGUUGGGCUAUCACAUGUAAUAAUUCCAGAAUUUUGGGAGCUUUCAGUAUCCAGGGAAGAGCUAAUAAUUAAAGAAGAAUCAAAGGGUGAUCCAAAUGCUGAACAAAUUGGAAUAUUCUGGUCAUGUGAUUCAGUUGAAGAAAUAAAAUGGAUUGAAUCUUGGUGAUGGUUAUGAUAAUUAUGACUAUGAUGAGAUGUCUCGAAUUCACCAAGGUGAGCAAUCUCCGAUUCUGGUUGGUAAAAGGGGGUAACUUCAGUGUUAAUUGUUGAGGUACAGUAAAUCUCAUCAAUAUCUCCGCAGACAAAUAUACUCGAGCCAUUAUUUAUUCCAGGCUGAGUUGAGCUGGAAUAAGAAUAAGUUGCCUGUGUUGGAGGCUCACUUCUAAUAUCUGCCAAAGCAUUCUUCUUUUUGGACCUAAUCUUUUGUCUUUUUGCUGGCUUUUGUAGAACACUAUCUGAGCCGCUAUUCAUAGAAAUCAUCGAAUCCAAAGGUUCAUGUUCUUCGUGUUUCUUAUGGUACGAAGGAGGAGGAUGGUGAGGAGCUCGGCCUCCAUUUUGAAUGUGGUUAUUUAUAUUGUUAUAAUGGCCAAUAUUAUGGUGAAGUUGCUGCUGAUGAUCAGGAAAAUGGCUGGUACAAACAUCACUUUGUGUACUAAAUCCUGAAACAGAUGAGUUUCCAUUCAUAUUAUUAUUGGAUACAUUACCUUGAAUUAUGUUAUAAUUAAUUAGGUUCUGGUUAUUCAUAAAGUUAGAGAGCUCUGGAUUCAAGGAAGAUAUAUCUUUUGGGUCUCCUGAUUGUAUUGGAGAGUUUGUAACGGGAAUAGGGGGAGGUGAGAAAUUAUAACUUGACUUUGCAGAUCCUCUUCUUUUUCUUUGUGAGGCUGGUGAACCACUUGUAGUGGAGAAUAUUGAAAUUGGUGAAGUAAUAUCAUGUUCAAUCUUGUUUAAUGGUGUAUUAGAAAUCAAGCUCGAAUCCUUUGAAUAAAGACUUUUACUGGAGGAAUAUGAUCGAUGACUACACGGGGAUGUUUCUGGUGUGUAAGUAUCUAAAUCAGUCUCAAGUUUUCCUAAUACUUUUGAAGAAUCAUCCAAAAGACCUUGUCCUCUUGGAAUAACUCCUCCAUUUGUAUUGCCGAUAGAAGAAUGCGAUUCAAAUUUUUCAGAAAUACCUCCUUGUACUGCAGCUCCUCCACCGAGUCCAUUGUUAUGUUGUUGAGAAUCUAAUACUCUUCUGGAUGAUAUAUUUGAGUGCGAUUGUUGUUGCAUCAUAUUUGAAUUUGAAUUUACAGAGGAGAGUUGGACACUUUUGGAAGAAUCUCUAUGUCUUGGCCUUCCAAAUUCACAAUGUAUGCUCAGAGCAUAGUCAAAUACAUCGCAUACAUAAGAGAUUUUGAAAAGUUGUUGGACACUUGCGAAUCUAAUUCUUGUAUAAGAAAGUCCAUGGUCAGUAAGAGCUUUCUCCAUUUUCGUUGGGUUUUGAGUAUGUAUUUCACGCAAUUUCUUAAGAAGCAUUUUUCUUCCAAGGUCUCCGAGAGGUAGCUUAAAUCCUUCAUAAUACUUAACAGAAUUAAGGUCUUCAGAAACAUUUGAAGAUGAGCCAAAAGAACAACUUUCUCCUGAUGAAUUUGAAGAGUAGCCAGACUUUGAAUGAACUGACGGUCCGCUUGAAGAAUUUCCAAAAUCAUCCGAACUUUCUCGCACUUUUCUGGUACGAGUCUUGCUAGGAGUCUUAGUUAAUGAGUUAUUUGUAACUCCUGCUCCAAUUCCGCCAAUACCCAUAACAGAUCUGGUAAUUCCAGAUAAACUAUUUUGAGUACAGUUACCAAUUCUAUUGGAUGAGUUACUACCAACAUUGAUAUUGUUGUUACUAUUAUUACUAUAUGGACGUUUACGUUUAGUAAAUUCCUUUUCAGUUGUGGAAAUCUUUUCAGUAUCAUUAAAUUGAUAUCCAGUAUUAUAUAUUGAGUUAUCUCUAAUAUUAUUUCCAGAGUUUGUUAACCCAGAUUGUAAUCCAUAAUGCUGAGACUCACCAACAAUUGAAGAAUGGCUGUUAUUUAAGUUAAAGUUACUUCCACCAGCACCACCGGCACUAUUAGUAUGUUGGUGUUGUGAAAAAUGUUUCUGACCUACAUUUUUUGAAUUAGAUCCGUCAGAGCCUACCAAAAACUGUGAAAGAGGCGAACAAAUUGGUCUGGAGAAUUCUCUUUGCUCCAAUGAAACACUAUUACCAUUAUUUGAUGAAUCUGGCGACGUUAUCAAUAGCUCAUCAUCCAAUAAUGAUGAACUUGAAAUAUUCAUUCCAUCCACUAUUUGGAAGCUGCUAAUUUGGUCCCAAUCAUAUCCUUCUUCCAUAUUAUUUACUAUUCAACUCGUUAAGUUUUUUACCUUUCUUUCAC
Molecule: non-coding RNA, 3211 nt
Filed under: Cryptosporidium parvum
Lineage: Eukaryota; Apicomplexa; Conoidasida; Eucoccidiorida; Cryptosporidiidae
Source: RNAcentral